Molecule: microRNA precursor, 52 nt
Organism: Pan troglodytes (chimpanzee)
Lineage: Eukaryota; Metazoa; Chordata; Mammalia; Primates; Hominidae
Rfam family: mir-1302 microRNA precursor family
Source: Rfam
UUUUUAGUGUAAGUAUAUCCCAUGCAAUAUUAGGGAUAUGCUUACACUACAA